UAACAUAAAUCAAAUAUUGAAGUUGCU
Molecule: small RNA, 27 nt
Filed under: Bombyx mori (domestic silkworm)
Lineage: Eukaryota; Metazoa; Arthropoda; Insecta; Lepidoptera; Bombycidae
Description: ovarian small RNA-18630
Source: RNAcentral